AAAAAAUUAGUUAAACCCCAUAACAUUAGUAUGUCAAACUAAAAUUAUUAGAAUUUUCUAAUAUUUUUUA
RNAcentral lists this transfer RNA (70 nucleotides) under Suragina sp. KW-2016. Its description in RNAcentral is "tRNA-Asp". Lineage: Eukaryota; Metazoa; Arthropoda; Insecta; Diptera; Athericidae. The record is from RNAcentral.